This 345-nucleotide unclassified non-coding RNA is filed under the name soil metagenome. Its description in RNAcentral is "partial contains 5.8S ribosomal RNA, internal transcribed spacer 2, and large subunit ribosomal RNA". The stretch from base 1 to 120 matches the Rfam family "5.8S ribosomal RNA", at positions 35 to 154 of the family's 154-position model. The record is from RNAcentral.
GAUGAAGAACGUAGCGAAAUGCGAUACGUAAUGUGAAUUGCAGAAUUCAGUGAAUCAUCGAGUCUUUGAACGCACAUUGCGCCCCCUGGUAUUCCGGGGGGCAUGCCUGUCCGAGCGUCAUUGCUGCCCUCAAGCACGGCUUGUGUGUUGGGCCUCCGUCCUCCUCCCGAGGGACGGGCCCGAAAGGCAGCGGCGGCACCGCGUCCGGUCCUCGAGCGUAUGGGGCUUCGUCACCCGCUCUUGUAGGCCCGGCCGGCGCUUGCCGACACAUCAAUCUUUUUUCCAGGUUGACCUCGGAUCAGGUAGGGAUACCCGCUGAACUUAAGCAUAUCAAUAAGCGGAGGA